AGCAUUCGACUCGGGUUACCAGUUGUUACAAGAUGUUCAUAAACAACCAGCAUCUAAACAAAACACCACAGCUAAACCGGACCUCCCUAACUUGGAACCUCUCCUACUAGACCUCAGGAAACAGGAAUCGCAGAUCAACAUAGAGAUCAAAAGACAGAACAAGGAUAACAGAACGUCCUUCAACACCCUACCCAAAGAGCUAAGUAAACAGGAACGAACUUCAAGCAGCAACAUCCGAAGCCUUCUCACAUGUUGGUCAUCAACCUCGAGAAACAAAUAACAGACACUAGAACAACCUAGCUUCCUAGAACUCUUUGAUCCUCUCCAUCAACCUGGCCAAAUCUUCCUGGAGCUCCACCGCUGAUAUCUGCAGCUUCUGCCAUUGUUUCACAUAGCCCACGACCUGAAAAGAAGUGUUUAGUAUUAGAAACAAGAAUAUUGUUAAACACCCAAUUAUUUCUAUUCUUCCACAGAGCCCAACACACACUAGCAACUAUAACAUGGCCCGAAGAUUGCAUAGAGGAAUUUGACCCAAUCGCACAUUUUAAGUCUUGAAAAGACGCCGGGAUACCCUCCCAGUUCAGGGCCUCCCUCACCCAGCACCAUAUAACCACUGCAACGGGGCAUCCGAAAAGAAUGUGACAGCUAGACUCCAGCUCUCCACAUAGUUUAAGUGUGCGUUUGGUUGGAGAGUCAACUAGAAUGUAGCGGCGUCGCUCCAUUCGCUCCAUUCUAGUUGACUCUCCAACCAAACGCACCCUAACCCGCGGUUCAAACACUGUUUCACUCUCUCACUGACCGAAUUAGUUGAGUAGUGGAAGAGAAUGGAGUGGCUCCAUUCCUAUUUUUUUUGGAUGUUUGGUUUCCAACAAAAGAGGAACGGAACGGCUCUUGGAGUCUUCAUAUGGAAAUUUACCAUAAAUAGUUGGAAUGCUCCCGCUUCACAAAAACGACCGGAUGCGAGCGCUCUCCCGGACGCGAGCGCUCUCCUCCCUCUCCCUCCCCUCUACACUCGUAUGACUCUCCAACCAAACAAAGAACAGAGCGGCUCCACUCUAUUCUACUCUUCAACCAAACAAAAAAUAGACCGGCUCUGUUCUGUUUGCCAAACGUAGAAUAGAACGGCUCUAUUUAAAAAAUUGGAAUGGAGCCGCUCGACUCUGCGACCAAACGCACCCUCAGCCCCCUGGAUGGAUCCGAAUUCCCGUGGCGAAGCCCCCAACGACCGCGCGCUCGACGGCGCGGCGAACGGGCGGCACUGGACGAUUAUGCCGGCCAACUGGGCUACCUACGGCGGAAACUAAGAGACCGAACACCAUCUACAGCCCAACGCGCAAGGAUAGGCGGCAACUAGAUGCCCCGGGACGCACUAACGCGAGCUCCAGCCGCAAGCGGCGAUUCUCGGAGGCGGCGAAGCUUUUCCGGCGAACCAGAGCGACUAACGGCUCAACCAUCUAGCUUGAGAACACCAGUGACUUACCACCAGCCUACCCGAGAAGACGGUUGAAGGAGAGGACGCUGGAGGAGGGCCAGCCACGUGCGACCUGAACGGCUCGGCGGCGCUCCGCGGUGGCGCGGUUGCGUCAGCGGCCAAGGGAGGACGGUAGCGGUUCGGUGGGUGUGAGCAGGGUGCAGAGGAGGUCUAAGUGAGGUUGAUGGUAAAGUUAAUUGAGUAAUCGGGGAAGUUAUAGCCCACGCGACCGAUAACAGCCACUCCGGCGUCCGCAACGGCCAAACGCCAAAAUUGGAGCUCAACUGUGCUCCAGUCGAGGUGGGAUGAGGUUGGUCGGGUGGUUGACUUCCCAGCGGAGCGAUAGACGGGAUGAAUUGGCUCGAAGUGCUUCCUAUCUGAAGAAAAGGGAUGGCGUGGGUCCGGCGCCCACUGCGGUGAGGAGACUGGCAGGCUGACUCCGGUCGCCUGGCUUGUCGCAACGCG
RNAcentral lists this long non-coding RNA (1936 nucleotides) under Zea mays. RNAcentral describes it as "long non-coding RNA (ZMAY_LNC003595)". The record is from RNAcentral. Lineage: Eukaryota; Viridiplantae; Streptophyta; Magnoliopsida; Poales; Poaceae.